CAUCUUCCGAAUAAACUGAUAAAAUUGUUGCAAGUAUCUAAUACUCAUUCAUAGUCAGCGUCGGCAUUUUCUUAAACUCGUUUACAAUCAUUUCUUCUGAAUUCAUCUAAUUUCUUCUGAACUCAUUUCAUCUUUCUUUUCUUCAUUCUUACUACACUCAUAUCCCGUUUCACUCACAACUCACUUCUUCACAAUAUCACUCACUCUCUUUCGCUACUUCUUUUCUCUCUCUCACUUUUCCAUUUCUUGUCACCUCGUUCCUUGUUACCUACCCUUGUUGCCUCUAACUUUUACCUUUUCUCUAUUCUAU
This is a non-coding RNA of Schizosaccharomyces pombe (fission yeast), 310 nucleotides long. NCBI's taxonomy places the organism in Eukaryota, Fungi, Ascomycota, Schizosaccharomycetes, Schizosaccharomycetales, Schizosaccharomycetaceae. The record is from the annotation of a GenBank genome assembly.